GACAUGCAAGUGAGAGAGAAGGUUAGCACUCCCUUUGGUAAGGAUGGAAGAGGUGCUAGUGGCCUUUACAACAAAUGGAGCAUUAAGGCAUGGCCACCUACUUUAUGGCAUCUAACCAAGUAAUGUG
Molecule: non-coding RNA, 127 nt
Filed under: Notamacropus eugenii (tammar wallaby)
Lineage: Eukaryota; Metazoa; Chordata; Mammalia; Diprotodontia; Macropodidae
Source: RNAcentral